CAUCGCUUCAGGGCGGGGUGCAAUUCCCCACCGGUGGUAAGUUCAGUUUGAAUGACUCAGACUGAAUCAGCCCACGAGCCAGCCAAGCAGAAAUCAUCUAUUUGGCUCGCAGAUUUGGUUCAAUUCCAAAGCCGACGGUAUAGUCCGGAUGAAAGAAGACGACG
This 164-nucleotide non-coding RNA is filed under the name Cajanus cajan (pigeon pea). Its description in RNAcentral is "FMN sequence". It matches the Rfam family "FMN riboswitch aptamer (RFN element)". From Rfam's summary of the family: The RFN element is a highly conserved domain that is found frequently in the 5'-untranslated regions of prokaryotic mRNAs that encode for flavin mononucleotide (FMN) biosynthesis and transport proteins. Lineage: Eukaryota; Viridiplantae; Streptophyta; Magnoliopsida; Fabales; Fabaceae. The record is from RNAcentral.